CAGCCGCCGCGGUAAUACGGAGGGUGCAAGCGUUAAUCGGAAUUACUGGGCGUAAAGCGCACGCAGGCGGUCUGACAAGUCAGAUGUGAAAUCCCCGGGCUUAACCUGGGAACUGCAUUUGAAACUGUCAGGCUGGAGUCUUGUAGAGGGGGGUGGAAUUCCAGGUGUAGCGGUGAAAUGCGUAGAGAUCUGGAGGAAUACCGGUGGCGAAGGCGGCCCCCUGGACAAAGACUGACGCUCAGGUGCGAAAGCGUGGGGAGCAAACAGGAUUAGAUACCCGCGUAGUCCCUGUUCUUAUACA
Molecule: ribosomal RNA, 301 nt
Filed under: uncultured bacterium
Lineage: Bacteria
Description: partial 16S ribosomal RNA
Rfam family: Bacterial small subunit ribosomal RNA
Source: RNAcentral